This is a non-coding RNA of Marchantia polymorpha subsp. ruderalis, 243 nucleotides long. The record is from the annotation of a GenBank genome assembly. NCBI's taxonomy places the organism in Eukaryota, Viridiplantae, Streptophyta, Marchantiopsida, Marchantiales, Marchantiaceae.
GGGCUUCGAACUCGAGCUCAAAUACGGCGUAGAGGCAACAUAACCGAGAAAAUUAUGAGCGGUGCUUUGCCAAGAUAUCUGGCCGUCAAAUUGACAACUCGAGCAGAAAUGCUGGAGAAGGACCAAGGUAUUACCUUGGCCCUUCUCGAGUUCGAAGCCUGACGGCCAGAUGUCACAACAGCGCUCAUCGUUCGCCCGGUCAUGUACCUCUACGCCGUGCGUGUGUUUACAUCAACGAGGCUU